AGAGUUUGAUCCUGGCUCAGGAUGAACGCUAGCGACAGGCUUAACACAUGCAAGUCGAGGGGCAGCGAGGGCGUAGCAAUACGCCUGUCGGCGACCGGCGCACUGGUGAGUAACACGUAUGCGACCUGCCCCCUACAGGGGUAUAACCCGUAGAAAUGCGGACUAAUCCCCCAUAGUCCCGGAGGCUGCAUGGCCUCUGGGGGAAAGGCCAGCCGGUAGGGGAUGGGCAUGCGGCGCAUUAGCUAGUUGGCGGGGCAACGGCCCACCAAGGCGACGAUGCGUAGGGGUUCUGAGAGGAAGGUCCCCCACACUGGUACUGAGACACGGAUCAGACUCCUACGGGAGGCAGCAGUGAGGAAUAUUGGUCAAUGGGCGCAGGCCUGAACCAGCCAAGUCGCGUGAGGGAUGACGGUCCUACGGAUUGUAAACCUCUUUUGUCGGGGAGUAACGUGCGGGACGCGUCCCGUAUUG
This 471-nucleotide ribosomal RNA is filed under the name uncultured bacterium. Its description in RNAcentral is "bacterial SSU rRNA". It matches the Rfam family "Bacterial small subunit ribosomal RNA", at positions 8 to 471 of the family's 1533-position model. The record is from RNAcentral.